RNAcentral lists this ribosomal RNA (466 nucleotides) under Vreelandella stevensii. RNAcentral's name for it is "partial 16S ribosomal RNA". It matches the Rfam family "Bacterial small subunit ribosomal RNA", at positions 337 to 795 of the family's 1533-position model. The record is from RNAcentral. Lineage: Bacteria; Pseudomonadati; Pseudomonadota; Gammaproteobacteria; Oceanospirillales; Halomonadaceae.
GCCUACGGGUGGCAGCAGUGGGGAAUAUUGGACAAUGGGCGAAAGCCUGAUCCAGCCAUGCCGCGUGUGUGAAGAAGGCCUUCGGGUUGUAAAGCACUUUCAGUGGGGAAGAAAGCCUUGGGGCUAAUACCCUCGAGGAAGGACAUCACCCACAGAAGAAGCACCGGCUAACUCCGUGCCAGCAGCCGCGGUAAUACGGAGGGUGCGAGCGUUAAUCGGAAUUACUGGGCGUAAAGCGCGCGUAGGCGGUCUGAUAAGCCGGUUGUGAAAGCCCCGGGCUCAACCUGGGAACGGCAUCCGGAACUGUCAGGCUAGAGUGCAGGAGAGGAAGGUAGAAUUCCCGGUGUAGCGGUGAAAUGCGUAGAGAUCGGGAGGAAUACCAGUGGCGAAGGCGGCCUUCUGGACUGACACUGACGCUGAGGUGCGAAAGCGUGGGUAGCAAACAGGAUUAGAUACCCCAGUAGUC